This 460-nucleotide ribosomal RNA is filed under the name uncultured bacterium. RNAcentral describes it as "partial 16S ribosomal RNA". It matches the Rfam family "Bacterial small subunit ribosomal RNA", at positions 338 to 795 of the family's 1533-position model. The record is from RNAcentral.
CCUACGGGCGGCAGCAGUGAGGAAUAUUGGUCAAUGGGCGCGAGCCUGAACCAGCCAAGUCGCGUGAAGGAUGACUGCCCUACGGGUUGUAAACUUCUUUUAUAAAGGAAUAAAGUGAGGCACGUUUGCCUUUUUGUAUGUACUUUAUGAAUAAGGAUCGGCUAACUCCGUGCCAGCAGCCGGGGUAAUCCGGAGGAUCCGAGCGUUAUCCGGAUUUAUGGGGUUUAAGGGGAGCGUAGAUGGGUUGUUAAGUCAGUUGUGAAAGUUUGCGGUGCAAGCGUAAAAUUGCAAUUGAUACUGGCAGGCUGGAGUACAGUUGAGGUAGGCGGAAUUCGUGGUGUAGCGGUGAAAUGCUUAGAUAUCACGAAGAACUCCGAUUGCGAAGGCAGCUUACUAAACUGCCACUGACAUUGAUGCUCGAAAGUGUGGGUAUCAAACAGGAUUAGAUACCCCUGUAGUC